This 428-nucleotide ribosomal RNA is filed under the name uncultured bacterium. RNAcentral describes it as "bacterial SSU rRNA". It matches the Rfam family "Bacterial small subunit ribosomal RNA", at positions 355 to 775 of the family's 1533-position model. The record is from RNAcentral.
GCGGGAAUCGUUCGCAAUGGGCGCAAGCCUGACGACGCGACGCCGCGUGAGGGAUGAAGUCUCUCGGGAUGUAAACCUCCGCCGGGAGAGAAGAACGACGCUCGGUUAAUACCCGGGCGAGCUGACGUUAUCUCCCAAGAAAGCCUCGGCUAACUACGUGCCAGCAGCCGCAGUAAUACGUAGGAGGCGAGCGUUGUCCGGAAUUACUGGGCGUAAAGGGUGUGUAGGCGGGUUGGUAAGUCGGGCGUGAAAUCCCGCGGCUCAACCGCGGAACUGCGCUUGAUACUGUCAGCCUGGAGUACGGGAGAGGAAAGCGGAACUCACGGUGUAGCGGUAAAAUGCGUAGAUAUCGUGAGGAACACCAGUGGCGUAGGCGGCUUUCUGGCCCGAUACUGACGCUGAAACACGAAAGCCGGGGGAGCGAACGG